UCCGAGUUGACCCCGGCAGUCUCCUAUGAGUCCCCACCAUUACGUGCUGGCAACAUAGGACGAGGGUUGCGCUCGUUGCGGGACUUAACCCAACAUCUCACGGCACGAGCUGACGACAGCCAUGCAGCACCUGUGCUAGCCCCUUACGGACACGCGCUUUCACGCGUUUUAACUAGCAUGUCAAGUCCAGGUAAGGUUCUUCGCGUUGCCUCGAAUUAAGCCACAUGCUCCGCCGCUUGUGCGGGCCCCCGUCAAUUCCUUUGAGUUUUAGCCUUGCGGCCGUACUCCCCAGGCGGGGUGCUUAAUGCGUUAGCUUCGGCACGGGGGGAGUCGACACCCCCCACACCUAGCACCCAUCGUUUACGGCGUGGACUAC
RNAcentral lists this unclassified non-coding RNA (376 nucleotides) under uncultured Actinomycetes bacterium. RNAcentral describes it as "uncultured actinobacterium contains 16S-23S intergenic spacer region". The record is from RNAcentral. Lineage: Bacteria; Bacillati; Actinomycetota; Actinomycetes.